ACGGCCACAUCACGUUGAAACACCGGUUCACUUACGAACAACGAAGUUAAGCAACGCUGAGUCUGGUCAGUACCUAAAUGGGUGACUGCCUUGGAAUACUAG
Molecule: non-coding RNA, 102 nt
Organism: Acanthosepion pharaonis
Lineage: Eukaryota; Metazoa; Mollusca; Cephalopoda; Sepiida; Sepiidae
Source: the annotation of a GenBank genome assembly